RNAcentral lists this transfer RNA (1052 nucleotides) under Bos indicus x Bos taurus (hybrid cattle). RNAcentral's name for it is "lncRNA (ENSBIXG00000026108.1)". Lineage: Eukaryota; Metazoa; Chordata; Mammalia; Artiodactyla; Bovidae. The record is from RNAcentral.
UCCUGACCCAGGGAUUGAACCUGGGUAUCCUGCAUUGUAGGCAGACGCUUUAUUAUCUGAGCCACCAGGGAAAUCCAGGUGUUAGUUUCAGGUACACAGCAAAGUGCUUCUGUUAUAUCUAUCUAUUCUUUUUUCAGAUUCUUUUCCCUUAUAGGUUAUUCCAAGAUACUGAGUAGAGCUCCCUGUCCUAUACAGUAGGUCCUUGUUGGUUAUCUAGAGUUCUGGUGUACCAGCUUUGUUGCCCGGCACCAUGUGGAGUCUUCCCAGAUCAGAGAUCCAACCGGUGUCCCCUGCACUGGCAGGCAGAUUCUCUACCACUGGACCACCAGGGAAGUCCUGGACAUUUUGUUUAAAGGGUCAAGAGAUUGACCUUUGACAUAGGAAACAAACUUGUGGUUACCAAAGGGGAAAGGUUGGGCAGGGGCUGCUAAUUAGGAGUUAGGGUCUAACAUAUACACAUAUUUUAAUUUAUUAUCUAUGUCUGAGGUCAAGUUCUUGACCCUUUAAACAACAUGCUCAGAAUGCUCACCAGAAGUAGAAAGAAUAUCUUCUCUCUGGGUCUCUCUUGAGUUCCCUGUCACCUUGGAGUCUGGAAGGGAGAAGGCGUGCUUGUUUCCCUCCUCCAGGGAAAUGCAGACAUGAAGGGGAAGAGGAUAUAAAGGUGUUUGACCUGGAGGGCUCAGCUACAGAAUCGCUGCAGGAAAGAAGACAAAGUUGUCGACCUGAGAAAACAAGAGCAAAGUUGGAUCUGGGCAGAAAGACAGAGGACACUCAGCAGGUGUAAACUGGUCUUUGCUUUUACUCUGACACAAGGCCAAAAGUGUAAGUGCGGUUGUUACUGGGCACACAAGGCCUCAUGUGGCUGAGAUUAACACAUUUUCCAUCAUUUUACUUACAGGGAAGCAUGAAGUUGGAUUCCUGUUUCCGAAUCUCAUUAAGAGAGAACUUUCAAAUCAGCAUUGCAGACAGACGAGCAAGCUUUCCAAUCUGCAAUUAACAAAGUUUAAGAGACGGAAUCAAGAUUGCUGGGAGAAAUAUCAAUAACCUCAGAU